Molecule: ribosomal RNA, 429 nt
Filed under: Bacteroidota bacterium
Lineage: Bacteria; Pseudomonadati; Bacteroidota
Description: Bacteroidetes bacterium partial 16S ribosomal RNA
Rfam family: Bacterial small subunit ribosomal RNA
Source: RNAcentral
UAGGGAAUCUUCCGCAAUGGACGCAAGUCUGACGGAGCAACGCCGCGUGAGUGAAGAAGGAUUUCGGUUCGUAAAACUCUGUUGUUAGAGAAGAACAGCGCAUAGAGUAACUGUUAUGCGUGUGACGGUAUCUAACCAGAAAGCCACGGCUAACUACGUGCCAGCAGCCGCGGUAAUACGUAGGUGGCAAGCGUUGUCCGGAUUUAUUGGGCGUAAAGCGAGCGCAGGCGGUCAAUUAAGUCUGAUGUGAAAGCCCCCGGCUCAACCGGGGAGGGUCAUUGGAAACUGGUUGACUUGAGUGCAGAAGAGGAGAGUGGAAUUCAAUGUGAAGCGUUGAAAUGCGUAGAUAUAUGAAGGAACACCAGUGGCGAAGGCGACUCUCUGGUCUGUAACUGACGCUGAGGCUCGAAAGCGUGGGUAGCAAACAGG